AAGUCUAUGAUUAUGGUUGUUGUG
This 24-nucleotide non-coding RNA is filed under the name Arabidopsis thaliana (thale cress). The record is from RNAcentral. Lineage: Eukaryota; Viridiplantae; Streptophyta; Magnoliopsida; Brassicales; Brassicaceae.